GCGAACCACUUCGGUGGUGAGCGGCGAACGGGUGAGUAACACGUAGGUGAUCUGCCCAUCAGACGGGGACAACGAUUGGAAACGAUCGCUAAUACCGGAUAGGACGAAAGUUUAAAGGUGCUUCUGGCACCGCUGAUGGAUGAGCCUGCGGCGCAUUAGCUAGUUGGUAGGGUAAAGGCCUACCAAGGCGACGAUGCGUAGCCGACCUGAGAGGGUGAACGGCCACACUGGGACUGAGACACGGCCCAGACUCCUACGGGAGGCAGCAGUAGGGAAUCUUCGGCAAUGGGCGAAAGCCUGACCGAGCAACGCCGCGUGAAUGAUGAAGGCCUUCGGGUUGUAAAAUUCUGUUAUAAGGGAAGAACGACUUUAGUAGGAAAUGGCUAGAGUGUGACGGUACCUUAUGAGAAAGCCACGGCUAACUACGUGCCAGCAGCCGCGGUAAUACGUAGGUGGCGAGCGUUAUCCGGAAUUAUUGGGCGUAAUGAGCGCGCAGGUGGUUGAUUAAGUCUGAUGUGAAAGCCCACGGCUUAACCGUGGAGGGUCAUUGGAAACUGGUCGACUUGAGUGCAGAAGAGGGAAGUGGAAUUCCAUGUGUAGCGGUGAAAUGCGUAGAGAUAUGGAGGAACACCAGUGGCGAAGGCGGCUUCCUGGUCUGUAACUGACACUGAGGCGCGAAAGCGUGGGGAGCAAACAGGAUUAGAUACCCUGGUAGUCCACGCCGUAAACGAUGAGUGCUAAGUGUUGGGGGUCGAACCUCAGUGCUGAAGUUAACGCAUUAAGCACUCCGCCUGGGGAGUA
This 801-nucleotide ribosomal RNA is filed under the name uncultured bacterium. RNAcentral describes it as "bacterial SSU rRNA". It matches the Rfam family "Bacterial small subunit ribosomal RNA", at positions 66 to 882 of the family's 1533-position model. The record is from RNAcentral.